This 261-nucleotide ribosomal RNA is filed under the name uncultured bacterium. RNAcentral describes it as "partial 16S ribosomal RNA". It matches the Rfam family "Bacterial small subunit ribosomal RNA", at positions 333 to 591 of the family's 1533-position model. The record is from RNAcentral.
CAUGCCCUACGGGGCGCAGCAGUGAGGAAUAUUGGUCAAUGGCCGGAAGGCUGAACCAGCCAAGCCGCGUGAAGGACGAAGGUGUCAAGCAUUGUAAACUUCUUUUGUCAAGGGACAAAAUCAGGCUCGAGAGCCUGACCGAGGGUACUUGAAGAAAAAGCAUCGGCUAACUCCGUGCCAGCAGCCGCGGUAAUACGGAGGAUGCGAGCGUUAUCCGGAUUUAUUGGGUUUAAAGGGUGCGCAGGCGGGAGAUCAAGUCAG